This 305-nucleotide ribosomal RNA is filed under the name Photobacterium phosphoreum. RNAcentral's name for it is "partial 16S ribosomal RNA". It matches the Rfam family "Bacterial small subunit ribosomal RNA", at positions 1 to 299 of the family's 1533-position model. The record is from RNAcentral. Lineage: Bacteria; Pseudomonadati; Pseudomonadota; Gammaproteobacteria; Vibrionales; Vibrionaceae.
UUAAUUGAAGAGUUUGAUCAUGGCUCAGAUUGAACGCUGGCGGCAGGCCUAACACAUGCAAGUCGAGCGGUAACAGAAAGGAAGCUUGCUUUCUUUGCUGACGAGCGGCGGACGGGUGAGUAAUGCCUGGGAAUAUACCCUGAUGUGGGGGAUAACUAUUGGAAACGAUAGCUAAUACCGCAUAAUCUCUUCGGAGCAAAGAGGGGGACCUUCGGGCCUCUCGCGUCAGGAUUAGCCCAGGUGGGAUUAGCUAGUUGGUGGGGUAAUGGCUCACCAAGGCGACGAUCCCUAGCUGGUCUGAGAGG